GACGAACGCUGGCGGCGUGCUUAACACAUGCAAGUCGAACGGAAAGGCCCUGCUUUUGUGGGGUGCUCGAGUGGCGAACGGGUGAGUAACACGUGAGUAACCUGCCCUUGACUUUGGGAUAACUUCAGGAAACUGGGGCUAAUACCGGAUAGGAGCUCCUGCUGCAUGGUGGGGGUUGGAAAGUUUCGGCGGUUGGGGAUGGACUCGCGGCUUAUCAGCUUGUUGGUGGGGUAGUGGCUUACCAAGGCUUUGACGGGUAGCCGGCCUGAGAGGGUGACCGGCCACAUUGGGACUGAGCUACGGCCCAGACUCCUACGGGAGGCAGCAGUGGGGAAUAUUGCACAAUGGGCGGAAGCCUGAUGCAGCCACGCCGCGUGCGGGAUGACGGCCUUCGGGUUGUAACCCGCUUUCGCCUGUGACGAAGCGUGAGUGACGGUAAUGGGUAAAGAAGCACCGGCUAACUACGUG
This 468-nucleotide ribosomal RNA is filed under the name uncultured bacterium. RNAcentral's name for it is "partial 16S ribosomal RNA". It matches the Rfam family "Bacterial small subunit ribosomal RNA", at positions 28 to 507 of the family's 1533-position model. The record is from RNAcentral.